This 510-nucleotide ribosomal RNA is filed under the name Candida albicans. RNAcentral describes it as "eukaryotic LSU rRNA". The stretch from base 143 to 296 matches the Rfam family "5.8S ribosomal RNA". Lineage: Eukaryota; Fungi; Ascomycota; Pichiomycetes; Serinales; Debaryomycetaceae. The record is from RNAcentral.
GAGCCUCUGAUGCUUAUUGCACCACAUGUGUUUUUCUUUGAAACAAACUUGCUUUGGCGGUGGGCCCAGCCUGCCGCCAGAGGUCUAAACUUACAACCAAUUUUUUAUCAACUUGUCACACCAGAUUAUUACUAAUAGUCAAAACUUUCAACAACGGAUCUCUUGGUUCUCGCAUCGAUGAAGAACGCAGCGAAAUGCGAUACGUAAUAUGAAUUGCAGAUAUUCGUGAAUCAUCGAAUCUUUGAACGCACAUUGCGCCCUCUGGUAUUCCGGAGGGCAUGCCUGUUUGAGCGUCGUUUCUCCCUCAAACCGCUGGGUUUGGUGUUGAGCAAUACGACUUGGGUUUGCUUGAAAGACGGUAGUGGUAAGGCGGGAUCGCUUUGACAAUGGCUUAGGUCUAACCAAAAACAUUGCUUGCGGCGGCAACGUCUACCACGUAUAUCUUCAAACUUUGACCUCAAAUCAGGUAGGACUACCCGCUGAACUUAAGCAUAUCAAAAGCGGGAGGAA